RNAcentral lists this ribosomal RNA (507 nucleotides) under uncultured bacterium. RNAcentral describes it as "bacterial SSU rRNA". It matches the Rfam family "Bacterial small subunit ribosomal RNA", at positions 92 to 605 of the family's 1533-position model. The record is from RNAcentral.
CUAGUGGCGAACGGCUGAGUAACACGUAAGUAACUUGCCCUAGAGUGGGGGAUAACACAGGGAAACCUGUGCUAAUACCGCAUACGUUCCACCUCUGAGAUGUGGUGGAGGAAAGGGGUCGGGUAACCGGCUUCCGCUCUUGGAGAGGCUUGCGUCCUAUCAGGUAGUUGGCGGGGUAAAGGCCCACCAAGCCGAAGACGGGUAGCUGGUGUGAGAGCACGACCAGCCAGAGGGGGACUGAGACACGGCCCCCACUCCUACGGGAGGCAGCAGCAGGGAAUCUUCCACAAUGGGCGAAAGCCUGAUGGAGCGACGCCGCGUGAGGGAUGAAGGCUCUAGGGUCGUAAACCUCUUUUCUCAGGGAAGACUAAGGACGGUACCUGAGGAAUAAGCCACGGCUAACUACGUGCCAGCAGCCGCGGUAAUACGUAGGUGGCAAGCGUUGUCCGGAAUUACUGGGCGUAAAGGGUCCGUAGGCGGUUCGGUAAGUCUCUUGUGAAAACCCCA